RNAcentral lists this ribosomal RNA (298 nucleotides) under uncultured bacterium. RNAcentral describes it as "partial 16S ribosomal RNA". It matches the Rfam family "Bacterial small subunit ribosomal RNA", at positions 29 to 355 of the family's 1533-position model. The record is from RNAcentral.
AACGAACGCUGGCGGCAGGCCUAACACAUGCAAGUCGAACGCUCCAGCAAUGGAGAGUGGCAGACGGGUGAGUAACGCGUGGGAACCUUCCCUACGGUUCGGAAUAGCUCAGGGAAACUUGAGGUAAUACCGGAUAAGCCCUUCGGGGAAAGGAUUAUCGCCAUUGGAUGGGCCCGCGUAGGAUUAGCUAGUUGGUGAGGUAACGGCUCACCAAGGCGACGAUCCUUAGCAGGUCUGAGAGGAUGAUCAGCCACACUGGGACUGAGACACGGCCCAGACUCCUACGGGAGGCAGCAGU